GCGAAGCGGGAAGAGCUCAAAUUUAUAAUCUGGCACCUUCGGUGUCCGAGUUGUAAUCUCUAGAAAUGUUUUCCGCGUUGGACCGCACACAAGUCUGUUGGAAUACAGCGGCAUAGUGGUGAGACCCCCGUAUAUGGUGCGGACGCCCAGCGCUUUGUGAUACAUUUUCGAAGAGUCGAGUUGUUUGGGAAUGCAGCUCAAAUUGGGUGGUAAAUUCCAUCUAAAGCUAAAUAUUGGCGAGAGACCGAUAGCGAACAAGUACCGUGAGGGAAAGAUGAAAAGCACUUUGGAAAGAGAGUUAACAGUACGUGAAAUUGUUGGAAGGGAAACGCUUGAAGUCAGACUUGCUUGCCGAGCAAUCGGUUUGCAGGCCAGCAUCAGUUUUCCGGGAUGGAUAAUGGUAGAGAGAAGGUAGCAGUUUCGGCUGUGUUAUAGCUCUCUGCUGGAUACAUCUUGGGGGACUGAGGAACGCAGUGUGCCUUUGGCGGGGGUUUCGA
This 497-nucleotide ribosomal RNA is filed under the name Rhodotorula mucilaginosa. Its description in RNAcentral is "eukaryotic LSU rRNA". It matches the Rfam family "Eukaryotic large subunit ribosomal RNA", at positions 93 to 586 of the family's 3401-position model. Lineage: Eukaryota; Fungi; Basidiomycota; Microbotryomycetes; Sporidiobolales; Sporidiobolaceae. The record is from RNAcentral.